UUCACCAACAUCUUGUACAAGCUCAACAUGAUUUCCCAACUUUAAUACUCGAUGCUCUGAAUGAUGAA
Long non-coding RNA from Amblyraja radiata (thorny skate), 68 nucleotides. RefSeq lists it as uncharacterized. Lineage: Eukaryota; Metazoa; Chordata; Chondrichthyes; Rajiformes; Rajidae. The record is from RefSeq and is a predicted model, not a curated record. The transcript is spliced from 3 exons.